RNAcentral lists this small nucleolar RNA (123 nucleotides) under Echinops telfairi (small Madagascar hedgehog). RNAcentral's name for it is "Small nucleolar RNA SNORA61 (ENSETEG00000024354.1)". The record is from RNAcentral. Lineage: Eukaryota; Metazoa; Chordata; Mammalia; Afrosoricida; Tenrecidae.
ACCCUCCAGAUUCCUUAUCCAUUAGCCCUAAACACUGAUCCGAGUGGUUAUAAAAGGAGGAAAAGCAAGGUUGAAACGGACUUACAUUCCUCUGUGAUACACAAACUCAUUUUUUUAAAAAGG